RNAcentral lists this non-coding RNA (117 nucleotides) under Nomascus leucogenys (northern white-cheeked gibbon). Lineage: Eukaryota; Metazoa; Chordata; Mammalia; Primates; Hylobatidae. The record is from Rfam by way of RNAcentral.
GCCGGGUGUGGUGGCUCACGCCUGUAAUCCCAGCACUUUGGGAGGCCAAGGCAGGCGGAUCACCUGAGGCCGGGAGUUGGAGACCAGCCUGGCCAACAUGGUGAAACCCUGUCUUUA